Molecule: ribosomal RNA, 402 nt
Filed under: uncultured Terriglobales bacterium
Lineage: Bacteria; Pseudomonadati; Acidobacteriota; Terriglobia; Terriglobales
Also listed under: 1 other name
Description: bacterial SSU rRNA
Rfam family: Bacterial small subunit ribosomal RNA
Source: RNAcentral
UGGGGAAUUUUGCGCAAUGGGGGAAACCCUGACGCAGCAACGCCGCGUGGAGGAUGAAAUCCCUUGGGAUGUAAACUCCUUUCGAUAGGGAAGAUUAUGACGGUACCUAUAGAAGAAGCCCCGGCUAACUUCGUGCCAGCAGCCGCGGUAAUACGAGGGGGGCAAGCGUUGUUCGGAUUUAUUGGGCGUAAAGGGUGCGUAGGCGGUUUGGCAAGUCUUGUGUGAAAUCUUCGGGCUCAACCCGAAGCCUGCACAAGAAACUGCCGGGCUUGAGUAUGGGAGAGGUGAGUGGAAUUUCCGGUGUAGCGGUGAAAUGCGUAGAUAUCGGAAGGAACACCUGUGGCGAAAGCGGCUCACUGGACCAUAACUGACGCUGAGGCACGAAAGCUAGGGGAGCAAACA